RNAcentral lists this long non-coding RNA (1271 nucleotides) under Gallus gallus (chicken). Its description in RNAcentral is "long non-coding RNA NONGGAT005772". Lineage: Eukaryota; Metazoa; Chordata; Aves; Galliformes; Phasianidae. The record is from RNAcentral.
GGUGGCGCGAGCUUUGGCACUGAGGAGCGUCAUCAAUGCGCGUGGUGGGGAUGGGCUGAUGUUUGGAUUUGGUGAUCUUAAUGAGCUUUUCCAACCUGAAUGAUGCUAUGACCGAGCCGCCACGUGGUCACCAGUUUUACUUCAGAACUGUGUUGAAAGAGCGAAGGCUCAGUACCUGCCCCACUUCAGAUCUUCUACGUGACCAGCUGGAAAUUUCAUGAAUCACAGGUGAGACCUGCACAGAGAGCUUCUGCAACAGUUUCAUUUGGAGAUCUGGCAAAAAUAGAGGAACUUGUUAGAAGAGGAGCAAAAUAGUCCUUCAUCAGUACUAAAAGCUAUCUUGAAGCUCUUAUUAAACUGCCAGUGCAGAUAGUCUCCACUUCUACUAUUUUGUUACAACACUUUGAAACUAUAAUCUGCACACAGCAAGGAAUGUGAAUGCCUGUGCUACAUCAGUUGUGUAAAAUAGCAUUCAUUUCUUUUUCUAGAGAAGUACUGUUAGCAGUAUUCUAAGUAGUACAUGCUCUCCCAGUUUGAUUAAAGUGCUAUUCUCAAAUGUAAAGCCUCUUUCAGUGUUUCAGUAGGACAGACUGCUCCAGGUAUGAUUUGCAAGUCUUGAACAUGCAUCACCCUGUAUUUUCAAAGUAUUCCUGAGGGAUGGUAGGUCAUAAUAAACAACACUACUUGCUGACAAAUAAAUUCAAGUCAUACUAUAAGAGAAUAUUGUUGAAUACACAGUUCUGACCGACUUAAUAUGGUUUCUGUCUGUUGGAAAUAAUGGUUAAAAAGAUACGGUCAGUUAACAUCUGAAAGUUGAAUGUUUGACUUGUGUAAAAGGAAGUGAUUAAAUAAGUCCUGUAGAAAUAUAUUUAGUUCAUACUUCAUACCUGCAACAGACAAAUUCAAUUCUCCUUCCGCUUGCAAAUACAAAAAUAAUUGUUUCUGAACGUGAAGUAGGAUAGGGUAGCCACAGAGAAGGCUGAGGCUUCAUUCCACCUUUAACAGAAUGUGUCAUGAUUUGACUGAAGUUUACUGAAAGAAGUAGCAAGCAGAAAAGUCAGCUAGCACACAAAUAGACUUGUGCCCUUCAAACUAAUGAGCUUACCAGUGGCAUUCUCUGGAAUUGGUGCUCUUUUGGAAUUGCGAGGAACUUUUAUACCAGUUGUAUGUUGUUGUGCUUAAAGGUAAGUUAAAUCACGUUUCCAAACUUUCUGCUUUUCUGUUUUUUAGGGGCUGAAAAUCAUGAAGUUAAUUUUCUACCUCCAUACCUA